Molecule: ribosomal RNA, 2914 nt
Filed under: Staphylococcus aureus
Lineage: Bacteria; Bacillati; Bacillota; Bacilli; Caryophanales; Staphylococcaceae
Description: bacterial LSU rRNA
Rfam family: Bacterial large subunit ribosomal RNA
Source: RNAcentral
UAAGUUAUUAAGGGCGCACGGUGGAUGCCUUGGCACUAGAAGCCGAUGAAGGACGUUACUAACGACGAUAUGCUUUGGGGAGCUGUAAGUAAGCUUUGAUCCAGAGAUUUCCGAAUGGGGAAACCCAGCAUGAGUUAUGUCAUGUUAUCGAUAUGUGAAUACAUAGCAUAUCAGAAGGCACACCCGGAGAACUGAAACAUCUUAGUACCCGGAGGAAGAGAAAGAAAAUUCGAUUCCCUUAGUAGCGGCGAGCGAAACGGGAAGAGCCCAAACCAACAAGCUUGCUUGUUGGGGUUGUAGGACACUCUAUACGGAGUUACAAAGGACGACAUUAGACGAAUCAUCUGGAAAGAUGAAUCAAAGAAGGUAAUAAUCCUGUAGUCGAAAAUGUUGUCUCUCUUGAGUGGAUCCUGAGUACGACGGAGCACGUGAAAUUCCGUCGGAAUCUGGGAGGACCAUCUCCUAAGGCUAAAUACUCUCUAGUGACCGAUAGUGAACCAGUACCGUGAGGGAAAGGUGAAAAGCACCCCGGAAGGGGAGUGAAAUAGAACCUGAAACCGUGUGCUUACAAGUAGUCAGAGCCCGUUAAUGGGUGAUGGCGUGCCUUUUGUAGAAUGAACCGGCGAGUUACGAUUUGAUGCAAGGUUAAGCAGUAAAUGUGGAGCCGUAGCGAAAGCGAGUCUGAAUAGGGCGUUUAGUAUUUGGUCGUAGACCCGAAACCAGGUGAUCUACCCUUGGUCAGGUUGAAGUUCAGGUAACACUGAAUGGAGGACCGAACCGACUUACGUUGAAAAGUGAGCGGAUGAACUGAGGGUAGCGGAGAAAUUCCAAUCGAACCUGGAGAUAGCUGGUUCUCUCCGAAAUAGCUUUAGGGCUAGCCUCAAGUGAUGAUUAUUGGAGGUAGAGCACUGUUUGGACGAGGGCCCCUCUCGGGUUACCGAAUUCAGACAAACUCCGAAUGCCAAUUAAUUUAACUUGGGAGUCAGAACAUGGGUGAUAAGGUCCGUGUUCGAAAGGGAAACAGCCCAGACCACCAGCUAAGGUCCCAAAAUAUAUGUUAAGUGGAAAAGGAUGUGGCGUUGCCCAGACAACUAGGAUGUUGGCUUAGAAGCAGCCAUCAUUUAAAGAGUGCGUAAUAGCUCACUAGUCGAGUGACACUGCGCCGAAAAUGUACCGGGGCUAAACAUAUUACCGAAGCUGUGGAUUGUCCUUUGGACAAUGGUAGGAGAGCGUUCUAAGGGCGUUGAAGCAUGAUCGUAAGGACAUGUGGAGCGCUUAGAAGUGAGAAUGCCGGUGUGAGUAGCGAAAGACGGGUGAGAAUCCCGUCCACCGAUUGACUAAGGUUUCCAGAGGAAGGCUCGUCCGCUCUGGGUUAGUCGGGUCCUAAGCUGAGGCCGACAGGCGUAGGCGAUGGAUAACAGGUUGAUAUUCCUGUACCACCUAUAAUCGUUUUAAUCGAUGGGGGGACGCAGUAGGAUAGGCGAAGCGUGCGAUUGGAUUGCACGUCUAAGCAGUAAGGCUGAGUAUUAGGCAAAUCCGGUACUCGUUAAGGCUGAGCUGUGAUGGGGAGAAGACAUUGUGUCUUCGAGUCGUUGAUUUCACACUGCCGAGAAAGCCUCUAGAUAGAAAAUAGGUGCCCGUACCGCAAACCGACACAGGUAGUCAAGAUGAGAAUUCUAAGGUGAGCGAGCGAACUCUCGUUAAGGAACUCGGCAAAAUGACCCCGUAACUUCGGGAGAAGGGGUGCUCUUUAGGGUUAACGCCCAGAAGAGCCGCAGUGAAUAGGCCCAAGCGACUGUUUAUCAAAAACACAGGUCUCUGCUAAACCGUAAGGUGAUGUAUAGGGGCUGACGCCUGCCCGGUGCUGGAAGGUUAAGAGGAGUGGUUAGCUUCUGCGAAGCUACGAAUCGAAGCCCCAGUAAACGGCGGCCGUAACUAUAACGGUCCUAAGGUAGCGAAAUUCCUUGUCGGGUAAGUUCCGACCCGCACGAAAGGCGUAACGAUUUGGGCACUGUCUCAACGAGAGACUCGGUGAAAUCAUAGUACCUGUGAAGAUGCAGGUUACCCGCGACAGGACGGAAAGACCCCGUGGAGCUUUACUGUAGCCUGAUAUUGAAAUUCGGCACAGCUUGUACAGGAUAGGUAGGAGCCUUUGAAACGUGAGCGCUAGCUUACGUGGAGGCGCUGGUGGGAUACUACCCUAGCUGUGUUGGCUUUCUAACCCGCACCACUUAUCGUGGUGGGAGACAGUGUCAGGCGGGCAGUUUGACUGGGGCGGUCGCCUCCUAAAAGGUAACGGAGGCGCUCAAAGGUUCCCUCAGAAUGGUUGGAAAUCAUUCAUAGAGUGUAAAGGCAUAAGGGAGCUUGACUGCGAGACCUACAAGUCGAGCAGGGUCGAAAGACGGACUUAGUGAUCCGGUGGUUCCGCAUGGAAGGGCCAUCGCUCAACGGAUAAAAGCUACCCCGGGGAUAACAGGCUUAUCUCCCCAAGAGUUCACAUCGACGGGGAGGUUUGGCACCUCGAUGUCGGCUCAUCGCAUCCUGGGCUGUAGUCGGUCCCAAGGGUUGGGCUGUUCGCCCAUUAAAGCGGUACGCGAGCUGGGUUCAGAACGUCGUGAGACAGUUCGGUCCCUAUCCGUCGUGGGCGUAGGAAAUUUGAGAGGAGCUGUCCUUAGUACGAGAGGACCGGGAUGGACAUACCUCUGGUGUACCAGUUGUCGUGCCAACGGCAUAGCUGGGUAGCUAUGUGUGGACGGGAUAAGUGCUGAAAGCAUCUAAGCAUGAAGCCCCCUCAAGAUGAGAUUUCCCAACUUCGGUUAUAAGAUCCCUCAAAGAUGAUGAGGUUAAUAGGUUCGAGGUGGAAGCAUGGUGACAUGUGGAGCUGACGAAUACUAAUCGAUCGAAGACUUAAUCA